AUUCUUAUAGUUUAAUUUAAAAUAUAACGUUGAAAAUGUUGUGAUAUAGAAAUUAAGGAUGAAAA
This 65-nucleotide transfer RNA is filed under the name Secretargas transgariepinus. RNAcentral describes it as "Argas transgariepinus tRNA-Phe". Lineage: Eukaryota; Metazoa; Arthropoda; Arachnida; Ixodida; Argasidae. The record is from RNAcentral.